UGCGGGGUAGAGAAGUGGUUGUCUCGGUGGCCUCAUAAGCCAUGUCAUUUACGAUGGUUCAAAUCCAUCCCCCGCAUCCA
RNAcentral lists this transfer RNA (80 nucleotides) under Erwinia phage pEa_SNUABM_50. Its description in RNAcentral is "tRNA-Met". It matches the Rfam family "tRNA". From Rfam's summary of the family: Transfer RNA (tRNA) molecules are approximately 80 nucleotides in length. Their secondary structure includes four short double-helical elements and three loops (D, anti-codon, and T loops). Lineage: Duplodnaviria; Heunggongvirae; Uroviricota; Caudoviricetes. The record is from RNAcentral. RNAcentral also lists the same sequence under 1 other name.